CCCGGACGGGAUGGUUCACCGUCGGACGAAGAAGAAAGACUUUGUGCCCAAGUUUUGAACGGUUCACAAAGCAAGAACCACCCCGGACGGGGUGGUUCACCGUCGAAGGAAGAAGAAAGACUUUGUGCCCAAGUUUUGAACGGUUCACAAAGCAAGAACCACCCCGGACGGGGUGGUUCAACAGUGGAGGAAGAAGACAGACUUUGUGACCAGUUUUUGAACAUUUCAC
This is a long non-coding RNA of Poecilia latipinna (sailfin molly), 229 nucleotides long. RefSeq lists it as uncharacterized. The transcript has 2 exons. The record is from RefSeq and is a predicted model, not a curated record. Lineage: Eukaryota; Metazoa; Chordata; Actinopteri; Cyprinodontiformes; Poeciliidae.